Molecule: ribosomal RNA, 254 nt
Filed under: uncultured bacterium
Lineage: Bacteria
Description: partial 16S ribosomal RNA
Rfam family: Bacterial small subunit ribosomal RNA
Source: RNAcentral
GACGAACCGUGCGAACGUUAUUCGGAAUCACUGGGCUUAAAGCGCGUGUAGGCGGGAAUGCACGUCCGGCGCUGAAAUCCCCCGGCUCAACCGGGGAACGGGCGCGGAUACGACACUCCUGGAGGGGCGUAGGGGGACCGGGAACUUCCGGUGGAGCGGUGAAAUGCGUUGAGAUCGGAAGGAACGCCCGUGGCGAAAGCGGCACUCUGGGACGGUACUGACGCUGAGACGCGAAAGCGUGGGGAGCGAACAGG